UUAAACAUCUGCUGUUUCUGACCCUGGUACACUGCUCUUGGGUAUCCUCCUGACAUUGCGGCUACAUAUAGACCAGUGGCAGCUACCUCUGUUCCUGUAUUGAAGCUAAUAUUACAGUGUGCAGAGGUAGUGUUUGAAGCACUGAGGAGGGACAUGCAGUCUGACCGGGCACAUGGCAACCAAAAGGAAAGAGAAGAACAUUUCAUUGGUUUGGGGCAAACUGAGAAGAUUAAGGUGGAGAUGGCAUCUGGAUAACAGACGGAGAUGCAGAGGUCCUGGAGCAGGUGCUGGCGAUACGAGUGUGAGGGGACAACGGAGUGAAACAGGCUGCUCCAGACAGCUGAACCAUGACCCAUCCAGUAGCUGUUGAAUCUGCUGCAGAGCCUACAGCCCAAGUGGAGCCAUACAGUGCCCAAACCAGCUUCCGAAUGAUGGAUGUGCAAGAUCAACUACUACCCAUCGCCGACCUUGACUUUAAUCAAGAGUAGGACCAAGUCGUCUUGAGUAUUCUUAGAAGCUAUG
This is a long non-coding RNA of Oreochromis aureus, 522 nucleotides long. The record is from Ensembl. NCBI's taxonomy places the organism in Eukaryota, Metazoa, Chordata, Actinopteri, Cichliformes, Cichlidae.